Ribosomal RNA from Chelonoidis abingdonii (Abingdon island giant tortoise), 117 nucleotides. Lineage: Eukaryota; Metazoa; Chordata; Testudines; Testudinidae. The record is from Ensembl.
AUAUGUAGACAGGGCCUUAAAUAUACCAUAUCACAUCAGAUCUCUCAAAUUGAGAAGUCUGGGCACGGUCAGUACUGGGAUGAGAAGCCUCCAAGGAAAAACAGUGUGCUGCAGGAA